Molecule: ribosomal RNA, 407 nt
Filed under: uncultured bacterium
Lineage: Bacteria
Description: partial 16S ribosomal RNA
Rfam family: Bacterial small subunit ribosomal RNA
Source: RNAcentral
GACGAACGCUGGCGGCGUGCCUAAUACAUGCAAGUAGAACGCAGUUGCGAACGGGUGAGUAACGCGUAGGUAACUGCCUGGUAGCGGGGGAUAACUAUUGGAAACGAUAGCUAAUACCGCCUACUAACAGGUGGACCUGCGUUGUAUUAGCGAGUUGGGGGGGUAACGGCUUACCAAGGUCACGAUACAUAGCCGACCUGGGAGGGUGGUCGGCCACACUGGGACCGGGACACGGCCCAGACGCCUACGGGAGGGAGCAGUAGGGAAUCUUCGGAAAUGGACGGAAGUCUGACCGAGCAACGCCGCGUGAUUGAAGAAGGUUUUCGGAUCGUAAAGCUCUGUUGUAAGAGAAGCGGUAUCUUACCAGAAAGGGACGGCUAACUACGUGCCAGCAGCCGCGGUAAUUC